This 469-nucleotide ribosomal RNA is filed under the name Vibrio mimicus. RNAcentral describes it as "bacterial SSU rRNA". It matches the Rfam family "Bacterial small subunit ribosomal RNA", at positions 57 to 516 of the family's 1533-position model. The record is from RNAcentral. Lineage: Bacteria; Pseudomonadati; Pseudomonadota; Gammaproteobacteria; Vibrionales; Vibrionaceae.
GCAGUCGAGCGGCAGCACAGAGGAACUUGUUCCUUGGGUGGCGAGCGGCGGACGGGUGAGUAAUGCCUGGGAAAUUGCCCGGUAGAGGGGGAUAACCAUUGGAAACGAUGGCUAAUACCGCAUAACCUCGUAAGAGCAAAGCAGGGGACCUUCGGGCCUUGUGCUACCGGAUAUGCCCAGGUGGGAUUAGCUAGUUGGUGAGGUAAGGGCUCACCAAGGCGACGAUCCCUAGCUGGUCUGAGAGGAUGAUCAGCCACACUGGAACUGAGACACGGUCCAGACUCCUACGGGAGGCAGCAGUGGGGAAUAUUGCACAAUGGGCGCAAGCCUGAUGCAGCCAUGCCGCGUGUAUGAAGAAGGCCUUCGGGUUGUAAAGUACUUUCAGUAGGGAGGAAGGUGRUUAAGUUAAUACCUUAAUCAUUUGACGUUACCUACAGAAGAAGCACCGGCUAACUCCGUGCCAGCAGCC